UCAGGUAGUGGGUUCCGGUGGUAGCUGAGGAAGAGGCUGUUGUUGCUGAGCGGGGACAUGGCAAUGCCAAUCUGGGCCAAGUAAUACAGCCCUGGGCCACGCCCUCACAUGCUCCAAGAAGAGGUGCAGCUCUGGGUGGCUGGCAGGGUGGAUGGUGGCCUCAAACAAUGGCAGGAAGAUGUUCUCCAGCAUCUCCUGGAAGUUGGCCAGCUGGCCCUUGGUACGGUACACGUCACUGCAGGCGAGACGAGUGCACACAGGUCCGACAUCACCUCCUGGGAUGUGCAAGGCAACUGUCACCCUCAGGCUUCUCACCGGUCACUGUCUUCGCACCCACCAGGUGUGCUCAGUCAGACCCCUUCAUGCCUCUCCCCCACCCUCCCCACCCACCCAUGC
Non-coding RNA from Kogia breviceps (pygmy sperm whale), 396 nucleotides. The record is from RefSeq and is a predicted model, not a curated record. Lineage: Eukaryota; Metazoa; Chordata; Mammalia; Artiodactyla; Physeteridae.